GGACGAAGGAGUCAGAACUGGAGAGGAACAUCAUAGCCUGGAGAAGAAUUAUGGAUGAACCACGCGAGGGAACUGCAAGUAGUCAGAGAAAAUCCUGGUCUCAUGGCAGACCCUGACUGGAGGGGUGGAAGCAGAUUGAAGAUGUUUGGGUGACUCCUGUGCUCUGGUGAGGAGGGAGUGAUAGAGAAGCUUUGAUGGGCACCAGAGACCAGACCAGACCUGACCACCGAAACCACCAAACCACUGGUCUGUUUCCUGUUUUUGGGAUGAGCUCUCAAUCAAACUGUGUGUAUUUAUUAACUUUUUCGCAUUUCAAUAUUUCCUUAAAUGCCCCUUUUAUCAUGAUACCUGGAAAUCACUGUUCUUUGUCAGCAGAUGAUGACAUAUAGCUAUUGAUACCAACAAACACCUGAAUUUAACAAAUGCAUCUCUCUUUCAUCAGGUUGUCUAAUCACAGCCUGCCUGUGGCCUGAGGCUGUGAGUGUUUCUGACUUACUUGCAAAGUAGGAAAUAAUAUUUAUGUGGGAACUAUGUGAUUCUGCCCAGAAACUAUCAUAUAAAUAACUUAUAUAUGAAGGUUUCUUUAAAGGACUGUCUAUUCUGUAGCUGAUUUUGUCCCAUUUCUUCCCAUGGUGCUUGAACUUCCUAAUACUAGGAUGAAACUGGUCUAUUUAAACAAGCUUGUAGCAGAGAAUCUUUGGGGAAAAAAGAUCUGGAUUUUUUUUUCUGUAUA
Long non-coding RNA from Myiozetetes cayanensis, 733 nucleotides. RefSeq lists it as uncharacterized. The transcript has 3 exons. The record is from RefSeq and is a predicted model, not a curated record. NCBI's taxonomy places the organism in Eukaryota, Metazoa, Chordata, Aves, Passeriformes, Tyrannidae.